UCGUCCCUGUGACUGGCGAGUUGGCGACUGUCCUCGCAUUCAACGGACAACGGCCCAUCAAGUCCAUUGCCUCAACCCUAGUCCCCAACUCCGCCCCCACCGCCGCAGGCGCGCCGCCGCCUCGCCGACCCGUCGCCGUCGUCGUCGCCGCCUCGCCACGCCUCAUCAUACCCCUGUAACAUCGCGUCCGCCACCUCGCUCGCGGCCAUGGUGGACGCGGCGGCGGCGGCGGCGGAGUGCGGCGAGCUGGACGGGACGGACGCCAUGGCCUACGGCGACGACCGGACGCCGCGGGACGGGAUGGUGUUCAAGUCGUACGAGGAGGUGCUCAACUUCUACAAGCGCUACGCCCUCCGCACCGGGUUCGGGGUCUGCGUCAAGAAGUCGUCCUUCACCAAGGCCGGCCUCUGCCGCCGCCUGGUGCUCGUCUGCAACAAGUGGGGGGACGGGAAGGAGGACGCGUGCUACCAGGCGAGGCCGACGGCCAAGACCAACUGCCAGGCCACCGUCGUCGCGAGGCUCUGGAGCGAUGGCCUGCUGCACCUCAUGGAUGUCAAUCUGGAGCACAACCACGCGCUGAAUCCCUCCGCGGCGCGGUUCCUGAGGUGCUACAAGACGUUGCCUAGUGGGAUGAGUAAAGAUCUGGUGGUGAGGGCUGCCAGAGGGGAAUGCUCGACCUCCGGCGACAUCGAGGUCCCGAUAUUCGAUGAUUGGGGGAGGCUCAAGAUUGGGGAAGAUGAUGUAGCGGCCAUCAAUGGCUUUUUCGCGGAUAUGCAGGCGAAGCAGGCGAACUUCUUCUAUCUCAUGGAUUUCUACGGGGAAGGCCAUCUGAGGAGUGUUUUUUGGGCCGAUUCGAGGUCCAGGGCAGCGUACCAAUAUUUCAACGACGCUGUUUGGAUUGAUACAACCUGCUUAAGAAAUAGGUUUGAUACACCCCUUGUUUUGUUCCUAGGGGUGAACCAUCAUGGUGAGCUUGUUCUGUUAGGCUGUGGCUUGUUUUCGGAUGAGAGUACGGAAAGCUUCUUAUGGCUGCUGAAGUCGUGGUUGACUUGUAUGAAAGGAUGGCCUCCGAAUGCCAUAGUUACGGAUGAUUGUGCCGCGAUAAAAGCCGCAGUUCGUGAAGUAUUUCCAAAUGCACGCCAUCGAAUAAGUGAUUGGCAUGUGUUAAGAAGUAUCUCUGAAAAGUUAGGAGAAUCAGCACAAUUUGAAGGAAUGAAGACCGAAUUGGAAACUGUAAUAUAUGAUUCCUUGAAGGAUGACGAGUUUGAGGCAAGGUGGAAUAACUUGAUCAGUAGAUUUGGCCUUCAGGAUAAUGAAUGGAUCACUUUUCUGUAUGAAAAUCGCCAUUUCUGGGUCCCCGCCUUUCUGAAAGAUACCUUCUGGGCUGGGUUAUCUACUGUUAACCACCAUGAGAGUCCAAAUGCCUUCUUUGAAGAUUCAAUCAACCCAGAGACCAAAUUGGUGACAUUCCUUAGCAGCUAUGUGAAUCUUUUACAGAACAAAUACAAAAUGGAGGAAGAUGAUGAUCUUGAGUCAUUGAGUAGAAGCAGGGUGCUAGUAUCGAAGUUUCCUAUGGAAGAACAGCUAUCUAGACUAUACACCUUUAAAAUGUUCACUAAACUCCAGAAUGAGCUGAACGCAACCAUGAAUUGUGAAGUUCAGUUGGAUGAUUCAACAUCCUCCAUUGUAGUUAUUGAUCUAGCUGAGUCAAGCGGAGAAAUGGUGAAUAAAAAAUAUGAAGUCGUUCACUGUAUGGAGACCGACAGGAUGGAAUGCAACUGUGGCCUGUUCCAGUUCAGUGGCAUUGUUUGUCGGCAUACAUUAUCGGUGCUUAAAUGUCAGCAUGUUUUUGAUAUACCCCCCUGUUAUGUGCUUAACAGGUGGCGGAAUGACUUUAAGCAGCUUCACGCCUUAGAUAAUCCAUGGAAGGAUUUGGUAACAAGUAAUCAUAUUGAGCGCUAUGAUUAUGUUUCUUUGCAGUGCCUCCGUCUUGUUGAGAUUGGAGCAUCAUCAGAUGAGAAGCAUCAGCAUGCAUUAAAAUUAAUAAGAGACAUACGACGGACCCUUCUUGAUGAUAAUUUGUGCCGGGAAUUGGAGCAGAAACUUACACCAUCUGAACGUGCUAUUAAUGGUGACAGCCACAUGCAAGCUGGCUCAUCUGAGGGAGGGCCAGCAAAAAAGCGCCGUGGCCGUCCUCCCAAAAAGAGUAAAGAUACAAAUGUGGAGUCCGUGUCAAAUCAAUAUGCCCAUAAGGAUUCUUUACUGGUAUCAUCGGACGUUAGUCAGAAGGAUGCUUUUCAUUCUUCUUCUACUGCCUCAAAUCUUGGUACUCAUGUCAGGACAAAUGGUGUUGUUGACCUUAUGGAAGAAGUUAAUCCAAAUGAGCUAUCUUUUGAUAGCCGUUAUGGGGUGCAGUCUAGCCACCCACACCAUUAUGGCAAUCAGCUGCAUCCAAGCAACACUAUGCAGUUUGGCCAAACUACAUCAACAGCAGAGCACUCUAGAGUCCAGUGGAUGUACCAGAAUAUAUUUCAGGACGAUCAAGUGCCUUAUGGCAGACGGACAUGACAGCAAUCAAAUACUGGGUUCAGAUGGUGCCAUUUCAGAGCAUGGAAACAAACAGAUACACUCAAAAUUGUACGAUAUGUAGGUUUUCAUCAGACAUACAGAAGGAAAGAACUCUUUCUCAAGAAAACAAACUCAAGGGAGGCAUUCCCCUCUGGAUGUAGAGCAGAUCUAACAUCAGAAUAAUCGGAACACAGUAAUGUGGCACAAACUGGUCAUUUUGUCUCGUCUAUAGAAAACUAGGAAUGUAGUCAUGUUACAUCUCAGAUCUUGAAGCAGCUAAAAUUCGGUCGCUUUCUCGUAAGCAGUGACCUAGCUUGAAAUUUAGUCUAAUCAAGAGUACUCCUCCAUUGACAUGUGAAUUCUUUCGUUUGUUCUUGUGUAAAUACCCGAGCGGUGAACAUUGAAGGUAAAGAAAAGACCAAGCCUGGGGAUCAUUCUGCAUA
Molecule: RNA transcript, 3011 nt
Organism: Oryza sativa Japonica Group (Japanese rice)
Lineage: Eukaryota; Viridiplantae; Streptophyta; Magnoliopsida; Poales; Poaceae
Gene name: protein FAR1-RELATED SEQUENCE 6
Source: RefSeq, a predicted model, not a curated record